RNAcentral lists this ribosomal RNA (1106 nucleotides) under Escherichia coli. RNAcentral's name for it is "bacterial SSU rRNA". It matches the Rfam family "Bacterial small subunit ribosomal RNA", at positions 79 to 1180 of the family's 1533-position model. Lineage: Bacteria; Pseudomonadati; Pseudomonadota; Gammaproteobacteria; Enterobacterales; Enterobacteriaceae. The record is from RNAcentral.
GCUGCUUCGCUGACGAGUGGCGGACGGGUGAGUAAUGUCUGGGAAACUCGCCUGAUGGAGGGGGAUAACUACUGGAAACGGUAGCUAAUACCGCAUAACGUCGCAAGACCAAAGAGGGGGACCUUCGGGCCUCUUGCCAUCGGAUGUGCCCAGAUGGGAUUAGCUUGUUGGUGGGGUAACGGCUCACCUAGGCGACGAUCCCUAGCUGGUCUGAGAGGAUGACCAGCCACACUGGAACUGAGACACGGUCCAGACUCCUACGGGAGGCAGCAGUGGGGAAUAUUGCACAAUGGGCGCAAGCCUGAUGCAGCCAUGCCGCGUGUAUGAAGAAGGCCUUCGGGUUGUAAAGUACUUUCAGCGGGGAGGAAGGGAGUAAAGUUAAUACCUUUGCUCAUUGACGUUACCCGCAGAAGAAGCACCGGCUAACUCCGUGCCAGCAGCCGCGGUAAUACGGAGGGUGCAAGCGUUAAUCGGAAUUACUGGGCGUAAAGCGCACGCAGGCGGUUUGUUAAGUCAGAUGUGAAAUCCCCGGGCUCAACCUGGGAACUGCAUCUGAUACUGGCAAGCUUGAGUCUCGUAGAGGGGGGUAGAAUUCCAGGUGUAGCGGUGAAAUGCGUAGAGAUCUGGAGGAAUACCGGUGGCGAAGGCGGCCCCCUGGACGAAGACUGACGCUCAGGUGCGAAAGCGUGGGGAGCAAACAGGAUUAGAUACCCUGGUAGUCCACGCCGUAAACGAUGUCGACUUGGAGGUUGUGCCCUUGAGGCGUGGCUUCCGGAGCUAACGCGUUAAGUCGACCGCCUGGGGAGUACGGCCGCAAGGUUAAAACUCAAAUGAAUUGACGGGGGCCCGCACAAGCGGUGGAGCAUGUGGUUUAAUUCGAUGCAACGCGAAGAACCUUACCUGGUCUUGACAUCCACGGAAGUUUUCAGAGAUGAGAAUGUGCCUUCGGGAACCGUGAGACAGGUGCUGCAUGGCUGUCGUCAGCUCGUGUUGUGAAAUGUUGGGUUAAGUCCCGCAACGAGCGCAACCCUUAUCCUUUGUUGCCAGCGGUCCGGCCGGGAACUCAAAGGAGACUGCCAGUGAUAAACUGGAAGAAAGGUGGGGAU